GGGGGCGAAAUAGGCUUCGACAUUAGAGAAAAAAGGAAAAGAUUGCCUGUAAAGGUGCCGGGCCCUUUAAAAACCGGUAAAACAUAACUGCCACAACGGCAAAUUUUAUGGCUGCUUAACUAAACAGCCACUCGUUCAAAUUCCCGCCCUUGGAAUUUGAAAACGAGUCGCUAAAGGGCUUAUUCUGAGAAACUUUUGUUUCUGGAUAUCAGAAGAAAGUAUAACAGAAACAUCUUUUCCAUAAAUCCUGCUUCGGGGAGACUGGAAAAAGAUAAAAAAACCGGAGAUACAUAGGUAGAUAUCUUUCCUGUUCUCUUCUGGACGCGGGGGCAGUACCCGCCGCCUCCACAU
This 351-nucleotide transfer-messenger RNA is filed under the name bacterium. RNAcentral describes it as "JAMDAS01 sp023485205 Standard tmRNA". It matches the Rfam family "transfer-messenger RNA". Rfam says of the family: Bacterial tmRNA, also known as 10Sa RNA or SsrA, is named for its dual tRNA and mRNA-like properties. Its role is to liberate the mRNA from a stalled ribosome. The record is from RNAcentral. RNAcentral also lists the same sequence under 1 other name.